Molecule: non-coding RNA, 115 nt
Filed under: Bacillus massilinigeriensis
Lineage: Bacteria; Bacillati; Bacillota; Bacilli; Caryophanales; Bacillaceae
Description: epsC RNA
Rfam family: epsC RNA
Source: RNAcentral
GGUAAUGUCUCCCCGCCGUUAUCAAUGGAGGCACUCGGUUACACUGUGGGUAAUAAGCCAUAUUACCUUAGACGCAUGUCGUCGAGAGUGUGAUGUGAGGUCGGGUUAGAUGCCC